CCUACGGGAGGCAGCAGUGAGGAAUAUUGGUCAAUGGUCGGGAGACUGAACCAGCCAAGCCGCGUGAGGGAGGAAGGUACAGAGUAUCGUAAACCUCUUUUGUCAGGGAACAAAGGCGGGGACGUGUCCCCGGAUGAGUGUACCUGAAGAAAAAGCAUCGGCUAACUCCGUGCCAGCAGCCGCGGUCAUAAGGAGGAUGCGAGCGUUAUCCGGAUUUAUUGGGUUAAAAGGGAGCGCAGGCGGUCUGUUAAGACAGCGGUCAAAGCCCGGGGCUCAACCCCGGUCCGCCGUUGAAACUGGCAGUCUUGAGUGGGAGAGAGGUAUGCGGAAUGCGCGGUGUAGCGGUGAAAUGCAUAGAUAUCGCGCAGAACUCCGAUUGCGAAGGCAGCAUGCCGGCUCCACACUGACGCUGAGGCACGAAAGCGUGGGUAUCGAACAGGAUGAGAUACCCCAGUAGUC
RNAcentral lists this ribosomal RNA (459 nucleotides) under uncultured bacterium. RNAcentral describes it as "partial 16S ribosomal RNA". It matches the Rfam family "Bacterial small subunit ribosomal RNA", at positions 338 to 795 of the family's 1533-position model. The record is from RNAcentral.